GUUAGGAAUUUUGGGCAAUGGGCGAAAGCCUGACCCAGCAACGCCGCGUGGGGGACGAAGGCCUUCGGGUUGUAAACCCCUUUUCCAAGGGAAGAUAGUGACGGUACCUUGGGAAUAAGCCCCGGCUAACUACGUGCCAGCAGCCGCGGUAAUACGUAGGGGGCUAGCGUUGUCCGGAUUCAUUGGGCGUAAAGCGCACGCAGGCGGCUUGGUAAGUCAUCGGUGAAAUCCCCCGGCUCAACCGGGGGGGGUCCGGCGAAACUGCCAGGCUUGAGGUCGGGAGGGGGAAGCGGAAUUCCGGGUGUAGUGGUGGAAUGCGUAGAUAUCCGGAGGAACACCAGUGGCGAAGGCGGCUUCCUGGCCCGAAUCUGACGCUGAGGUGCGAAAGCGUGGGGAGCGAUCCGGAUUAGAUACCCCAGUAGUCC
Molecule: ribosomal RNA, 425 nt
Filed under: uncultured bacterium
Lineage: Bacteria
Description: bacterial SSU rRNA
Rfam family: Bacterial small subunit ribosomal RNA
Source: RNAcentral